CUGGGUGUAAGGGUGCGUAGGCGGCUCUGCAAGUCAGGUGUGAAAACUAUCAGCUUAACUGAUAGACUGCAUUUGAAACUGUGGAGCUUGAGUGGAGCAGAGGCAGAUGGAAUUCCCGGUGUAGCGGUGAAAUGCGUAGAGAUCGGGAGGAACACCAGUGGCGAAGGCGAUCUGCUGGGCUUUAACUGACGCUGAGGCACGAAAGCAUGGGUAGCAAACAGGAUUAGAUACCCUGGUAGUCCAUGCCGUAAACGAUGAUUACUAGGUGUGGGGGGUCUGACCCCCUCCGUGCCGGAGUUAACACAAUAAGUAAUCCACCUGGGAAGUACGACCGCAAGGUUGAAACUCAAAGGAAUUGACGGGGGCCCGCACAAGCAGUGGAGUAUGUGGUUUAAUUCGAAGCAACGCGAAGAACCUUACCAGGUCUUGACAUCCAACUAAUCCUGUAGAGAUACGGGAGUGCCCUUCGGGGAAAGUUGAGACAGGUGGUGCAUGGUUGUCGUCAGCUCGUGUCGUGAGAUGUUGGGUUAAGUCCCGCAACGAGCGCAACCCUUGUGAUUAGUUGCUACGCAAGAGCACUCUAAUCAGACUGCCGUUGACAAAACGGAGGAAGGUGGGGACGACGUCA
This 628-nucleotide ribosomal RNA is filed under the name uncultured bacterium. Its description in RNAcentral is "bacterial SSU rRNA". It matches the Rfam family "Bacterial small subunit ribosomal RNA", at positions 554 to 1187 of the family's 1533-position model. The record is from RNAcentral.